This 422-nucleotide ribosomal RNA is filed under the name uncultured bacterium. RNAcentral describes it as "bacterial SSU rRNA". It matches the Rfam family "Bacterial small subunit ribosomal RNA", at positions 361 to 775 of the family's 1533-position model. The record is from RNAcentral.
AUAUUGCGCAAUGGGCGAAAGCCUGACGCAGCGACGCCGCGUGAGGGAUGAAGGUCUUCGGAUCGUAAACCUCUGUCAGCAGGGAAGAACGGUCACUGUGCUAAUCAGCAGUGAAUUGACGGUACCUGCAAAGGAAGCACCGGCUAACUCCGUACCAGCAGCCGCGGUAAUACGGAGGGUGCGAGAGUUAAUCGGAAUUACUGGGCGUAAAGCGAACGUAGGCUGUUGUGUAAGUCAGGGGUGAAAUCCCAAGGCUCAACCGUGGAAAUGCCCUGGAUACUGCAUGACUGGAAUCCGGGAGAGGGUGGCGGAAUUCCAGGUGUAGGAGUGAAAUCCGUAGAUAUCUGGAGGAACAUCAGUGGCGAAGGCGGCCACCUGGACCGGUAUUGACGCUGAGGUGCGAAAGCGUGGGGAGCAAACAG